Long non-coding RNA from Cygnus olor (mute swan), 2179 nucleotides. RefSeq lists it as uncharacterized. The record is from RefSeq and is a predicted model, not a curated record. The transcript is spliced from 4 exons. Lineage: Eukaryota; Metazoa; Chordata; Aves; Anseriformes; Anatidae.
CUGCCUCUCAGCUGUGCCCAGGGCAGCAAUCAGGCAGACCUAGGAUAGGAGGCAGGUGGGACCUCCCAGAGUCCAGCUGAGGGAUAAAUGGCCAACAGGCCAGCUGUGGAGGAGGCGGGUCUGAGCUCCCCUCCCACACCAAAAGAAAAGAAAUGACUUUAUUUCCCUUUAAGGGAGUAGCUGGAGCAGAAAUAUGGCUCUGGCUUUUUGCUUUCCUGGGGGAAGUGAGCCCUAACAGUGGCACAGAGAAGCUGUGGGGAAGGAAGGCAACUGGUGUCCAGCUGCAGGCCCUGAGGGAGCCCUGGGGCUGGCUAAAGCCAACACUGGAGGCCUUGUGAGACUUUCCAGAACAUUCUCAGGUGUGGACAUGUGCAAUGUAUUAGGCUGUAAUGACCCUAUGAGAGGAAGCAGGAGGUGACAAGAGCUGGUUACAGGUCAGGGACAUGAGAGAAGCUGAAGGCUCCAUUUAUGUGCUGCCCAGUGCAGCCCUACCAAAGAGCAUCGCUGACAGAGCCUGCUGUGGAUGAAGCUUGAACAAAGUGCCCAAAUGGAUCCAAGGCUGCGUGUGAGUUGUUCGAGAAAACAAAAAUUUUCUGCUGACUAAUGAGUCUCUGACUUCCUCCAGUCUACCAAAUGUUCUAGAUGUUUUUGUGCAGAUGAUUGCAACGCCUCUUCCAAGUGGAGAUAAGCUUUUGUCUCAGGGGAAAAUUCUGCACCGACACUGGAGGAAAUAAGAUGACAUGAAAAUUUAUAUUUUGCUAAGAACUUAUUUUGGAUCUUCUGUUUUAACUGUAUAUCAUUUUAGGGGCACCUAGUGUUCCUCCUUUACUAUAUAUAUAUUGUUUGUGGCAAAUGAGCACUGAAUACAGCAACUAUUUAGGGAAUAAUAGUAAUUGUGCAGUGAGGCUGCUGCUCAAGCCCUUCUAAAAAAUCUCUCCAUAGAUUACCAGCCACUGUCAGGGAGAUCUGCCAGAUACAUACAGCGUGUACACUUUCUUAUCAGUAGGAAGCUGACCUUUACCAACCGUUACCAUGUUGAUGCGUGAUUCCCUACCCCUUCCUUUUGUGUGGUCCUCACUGCCCUUUGCUCCAGUUAUUCAGGCCUUCUGUGGGUAAAUUUUACCCCAUGAAGAGUGCCUGAAAAAAACAUGCUUAACUCCUACUUAAACCCUAUUUUAAAGACUUAAGUGGUGCAUAAGCUUUAUGUUCUCACUGCACACAGGAAUCAACUUCAUUCUCUGUGAUUACAUUUUACCAGGGUCUACUUGAAGAGACUUCUGUAAGUGCUGCUUUUGGAUGUGUCUAUUUUUAAAAAGAAGGGCUUGAACUAUUUCCUUCCAGUAACUAAAUCUCCCUAAUCAUGCAUGAGGUACAAACUGUGUUUUAGAACACAGAAAUUGUCUAGAGUGUUCAAGAAAAUUAAUAUCAAGAAUAACGCAGCAUACUUGGACUAAAUACCACAGAAACAAAGCUGCAGACAAAUAAUUAGAAUUAAAAAAUAAAAUUUGCUUUUCUAAAUUACUAUUUUACAUCUAAAAUAGGACAUCUCUUCACAGCGAAAAGAAUUGCCUUUUUUUUGUAUUCAAGCAAUCCCAAACCUGCCCAGGUGAGGUUUUCCAUGUCUGAUAUCGCAAUUAGUGGAAGAAGUGCAGUUAAGUAAACGACAUCUGAAAGACAGCUGGAAAUAUUCUAUUUUCAGCUACACGUGAGGCUGUCAUGAUCCCAAGCAGUAAUGAUCCCUCCCAGAGUAAUUUUGGGGAGGUGGGAAAGGAGUUGAUAGCCAUAAUUUUUGGGUUGGAUGGAAUAUAUAGGUCUUUUGCUAGGGCCAGACAGCACCUGUCCUACCCCAGAUGCAGGAAAUGGAAUUGCCAGUCCCAGCUGACUGGGAAGCCUGCAGCCCCAUAUCAGUCACACGGUACUCAGCGUGAUCCUACGUCAUCUUCGGUCUACAGGUUUUCUUUCACUAUCCCUUUUGGUAGGGGAGAUGGAAACGGUACUGAUUGAAAUGCAAGUGUGAGUUUACAAAACAGUAACUAUGACCAGGGAACAAUUCAUAGAUUUUGUUAUCUGUUAAUCCAUUAUUAAUUGUAAAAUAAUUGCUCUGCAUGAAACUGGUAAAGCUACCCCACUUUACAUUUUUAAGCAUAAUUUGUCUCAGCUUAGUGUGAUUGAUUCUGAA